Odobenus rosmarus divergens (Pacific walrus) is the source of this 959-nucleotide RNA transcript. It is a transcript of the gene named olfactory receptor 2T11-like, with no coding region annotated. The record is from RefSeq and is a predicted model, not a curated record. NCBI's taxonomy places the organism in Eukaryota, Metazoa, Chordata, Mammalia, Carnivora, Odobenidae. The transcript has a single exon.
AUGUCAAUGAAGAGUAUAACUUUAUCCUCUGAUUUCAUCCUCCUGGGGCUUCUGGUGAACAAUAAAGCUACAGGGAUUGUCUUUGCUGUUAUUUUUGCUAUUUUUGUGGUGGCUGUAACUGCAAAUUUGGUCAUGAUAUUCUUGAUUCAGGUGGACUCCCAUCUCCAUACUCCUAUGUAUUUCCUGCUUAGUCAGCUGUCCAUCAUGGACACCCUUUUCAUUUGUACACUGUCCCAAAACUUCUGGUCGACAUGUUUUCUAAAAAGAAGACCAUUUCCUUUGUAGGUUGUGGCAUCCAGAUCUUCCUCUACUUGACCAUGAUUGGCUCAGAGUUCUUCCUCUUGGGCCUCAUGGCCUAUGACCGUUAUGUGGCUGUCUGUAACCCUCUUAGGUAUCCAGUCCUGAUGAACCGCAGGGUGUGUCUCCUGCUGGCUGCUGGUUCCUGGUUUGGUGGGUUCUUGGAUGGCUUUCUGCUCACCCCCAUCAUCAUGAAUGUCCCCUACUGUGGCUCCCAAAGUAUCAACCAUUUUUUCUGUGAGAUCCCUGCAGUUCUCAGACUAGCCUGUGCUGACACAUCCUUGUAUGAAACCCUAAUGUACAUCUGCUGUGUACUCAUGUUGCUCAUCCCUAUCUCUAUCAUCUCAACCUCCUAUUCUCUCAUCUUGUUAACUGUCCACCGAAUGCACUCUGCUGAAGGCCGGAAGAAAGCCUUUACCACUUGUUCUUCCCACUUGACUGUAGUCAGCAUUUUCUAUGGGGCUGCCUUCUACACUUAUGUUCUGCCCCAGUCUUUUCACACUCCUGAGCAGGACAAGGUAGUGUCAGCCUUCUAUACCAUUGUCACACCCAUGCUCAAUCCUCUUAUCUACAGCCUCAGAAACAAGGAUGUCAUGGGGGCAUUUAAAAAGGUAUUUUCACAAUACUCAUCUGCUCAAAAGGUAUCCACAAGUGAUGCUUAA